UUGCAGUUGAAAAAUUAUAUAAUUUGUAUUAUCUUAAACAUGUCAUUGAACUUUUAUUACUUUUUUAUACGCUCUUUAUGUUCGCAAUUGUUCAAAACGAUAUAAGAAAUAAAAAGUGAAAAACCAAGCAAGUCUUUGACAAAGUCAAUACGACACUUGUGAAACGUGGAAAUAUUUUGUAGGUGCUAUGAACGUCGUUCCUCCACCAGACGAAGAUUUUCAUUGCUUUAUCGUCUCCCAUCAAGACAUAAUUUUCAUAAUGUUUAUUUCGAAACUACAAUAUAAUAAAAACAAUAUAUCAUGUUACCCAAUUAAGUAACAAGGGCUGCAUCAAUUGUGAUACACAAUAAAAAAAAGGAUGAUAUUUUUUAUAGUUUGACUCAAUUGAUAAAUGUUACAUCACAUGUUGUAUAACUGAUGUUGUCUGUUGAUUUCUUAAAAACAGGAGAAUAUAUCCAGCUCUGGUUACGCAUCAAUCAAUAUGACUGGCUUGUUCUGCAAAAUUGGCAAAAAAUAACCCCCAUAAUAUAGUUGCACUGAUACAUCAGUGAACAUCUACAACUUCCCGUUAAUAAAGGGAUGUUGCAGAUAAUGUUAUUCCUACAAUACUUACCCUAGCCUUCGAAUUUGACAAUUUUAACCGACCAGAUGGUGCGCGUAUUAUUCACCCCAUAGCGUUAUACAGUCACACUUUAUUAAAGGGUUUUCUAACGGAUGUACAAACAAACCAACAAUGAUGAACAUACUCAUAUACCCUCACAAAAUGACCGACAUACAUUGAAAUUAAUGACAACAAAGAUCAGGCUAGUGUAUUCGAUUGAUAUAGAAAAGUUUACCCUGUAAAAGUUUCGAUUAUUAAAAAUCCAACUCGACACUGCUUGAAUUGGAAAACAGUUGUUAUCGCAUUUAUCAAACUACGAAAACCCUCAUAAUAAACUAGAUAAUUAUCCAGUUAAACGACAACUGUUAACUUUAGCAUUUUUUUUAAAAAUACUCACAACAGAUUUGCCAGUAUGGUAUGACUGUUGUAUUUUUUAAGUCCCAAAAGAAAAUUAUAAAUGCAAUUGCCUUUUAUAUAACUCAUUUUUACCACACAAAUAUUGGGAAAAAACCAACAGCAAGUUGAGUUUAACGUUUCAGAUUCAGCCAGGCCGUUGCUUUUCUGUUUUGUAUCUCAUUUUUGUCAUCCCAAGCCUUUCAUUACUUAUAAAACGAUAUGGGUUUUGUGUUUAAGGCGAGGUGCCAUCGGGGGGUUAAGAUUUGAAGUCAGCAAUAUUGAGACCAUGCAACACGUGUUUGUUUUUGAAAAUGUUGGUUGUGAAUUGGUUCAUCAAUAGGGUCAAUUUUACUUUCUACCAAGUACGCAUAUGGUGAAGACGUAUUUUUCACUACGUAGAUUGUGCAAGUAAUUUUUUUUAAUUCCAAUUCAAAUUGAAGGUCAUAUACCUUGCAAUCUAUCAGAAACUUUUAAAUGUGUUUUAGUGUAAUGUAUGCUUACAAUGUGUCCAGGUAAUAUAAAAUAUUUCGAAAAUUAUUUAAACGAUUUCGAUUUUUCUUUUGUUUUAAGAUUACUUUGUGUUUCUUCUUCAUGUGUUUCAUCUUCUUUCUUUUUUUUAAUCCAAAGCUAAUAUUCUGGUUUAAAAAUAAAGAUACUAUCCUGUGCAAACUUCACUCGUGCACUAUACAUUUCUUGUGCAUAAAUAUGCGUUCAAUGAGAUAUAUUUCCACUUCCAAUGUACACACCUGUAAAAGGAAGACUACAAGAAAGCUUUAAUUUUUUUUUUAUGUAUAUAUCAUUUUAUCUUUUAAAUCUUUAUCGUUUUCAAUUAUUUAAAGAAGAGUCCAGAUAUGUGCAAAAUGAUAAAUCUGAUGCAUGCUAGUCCAAAUGGAUAAAUUCGGUUAUCAAUCUUAAAUGAUAAUUCAAGUUAUUGCAUGUCCAAACAGAUCAAUCUAGUAAUUCCAAGUCCAAAAUAAUAAACCCGGUCAUCGAAAGUCCAAAAUGAUAAAACUGGUUAUUUGCAGGUGCAAAAUAUUAACAUAUCAAGUUUUAAACACAAACAAGCCAAGCAAGUCUGUGAUGAUGUUAAAAGACACUUGUGAAACGUGGAAGUAUUUUGCUACAGUUUAUCAAUUUAUAACGUCGUUCUCCCACCAGACGACUGUUUGUUAAUUGAUGUAAUUUAACGUCCCCCAUCAGGACCAGGAUCCAUAAUGUUUUAUAAUUAUCUGAAAAAGAAAAAGAGAUAAUUGGGAAACAGAUUUAUGAAAAGGUUGUUUAAAUAACCAUAUUAAACUAAAAUAUUUAUUUUUAAAUGAAAUAAAAAAAUCAUUGUCGAUAUAAUGUAUUCAUUUAUUUAUUUCGCUUACUGAACUUGUUUUUAUUCGAGCGUCACUGAUGGGUCUUUUGUAGACGAGGCUCGCAUCUUGCACAUAUACCAAAGUUCACUCCUGUUUUAUAUAAUAAAUUUAUCGUUCAUAUUGGAAUAAAACAGGAUGUUUCGACUAAAUUAUUAUCUAACUUAAUACACAAAAUGGUAAAUCAGAGGAUUACACAUUCUUCGAGGUACUAUUGAACAAAAAUAAUGUAUAUCAAAGACAUUGUGCAUAUUACCUGCCAAACACACUAUUAGUUUGAUGAAUAACGAUUUUGAUAAGAAAUGUAUUUGCAAAGAUUCGUACUUUAGUUAGUGAACAUAAAAUUAUUAUCAACUUGAAUAUCGGAUUUCUUUACAUAUCCCCGAAUCCAUACAAUACAUGGAAUACUCAAAAUAAUUAUCAACGUGUGUAUACUAGUAUUUAAAACUUAAAAAGCACAUAUCAACGACAAAAUAUUUUAUUAUACUUCACGUUAAAAUUCCAUAUUUCGAUUGGCUGAUACGAGGGCGUUAAUUUACUCUAUCACAUGGCUGAGAGGGUGACACUUUUUUUGAAUGUCACCCUCUCGUCCAGACCAAUACAAAAUCGAGAAUUGAAUUUACAUCAAAUUAUUAAAGACAAUGCUUAAGUUCUACGUUUUGGCUCAGAUUCUAUUAUUUAAAUGUAAAAAAAUAAAAAAAAAACAACAUCUUGCUUCACUUCUGUUGAUUUUUAUAAUACCCAUAACGUUGUUAUGUACAUGACGUCAUAGAAAAUAUUUUCAAAUAAAAUGCAUCUGUAAAAGACAAUAACGAUAGGACAUUUAGUAUAAUGAAUUAAAUAACACAUAGCUUAGAGGCUGAUAGAGCAGAUUGGUACCCCUCGAAAAAGCAUUGUCAACCUUGGCUGCGCAGUUGACUAUGUUUUCUCCGGGUAACAAUCUGCUCUAUCACCCUCUCAGUUAUGUGUUAUUUAUAUAUUGAUAGCAUCAUUGCCUGAUCUCACUGUCUUUUUAAAGAGAUACAAUUACACUAAAUAAAGGCGUAGUAUACCGAUGUUCAAAACUCAUAAAAAACAAGUCCUGGUCACAAACCAAACCCGAGGGAAAUGCAUUAAAUAUGAGAAUGACGACACAAUAUUAAAAAGUAAAAAAUUAAGAUAAAUACGCAAUCACUUACCUCGAACAUUUUCAUCUUCCUUUUUUUAUAAAUCAAACAUCCUGUAAGAAAAAGUGUAGUUUACGUUAGACUUUAUGAGGUUCUUUUUUCGCUUUGCCAUUAUUGUUGUGAUUGACGUACCAAUACAGGAAUAUAGCAGUUGUUAUUAAAAAUGCAUUAAGGUGAACGUUGGCUUUUGUUUUUGUUGCAGUUCAAUUUUUCUGUUGUUUUUCGCUUUAAGUCGAUGUGUUUCUCUCGGUUUUGGUUUGUAACCCAGAUUUUUGUUUUCGAGGUUUGGUUACUGAACAGCGUUAUACUUCUAAUAAUCUUUUACAUGAUUCGGUACUCUGACAUGAUAUCCAGUUUGUAUGUAUUGUGUACAAACCAAAGUGACGGUAAACCAAUGUUAAAAUAAAUUUCUUCAAAUUAAAUCUAAUAAAAUACUUGUUAGUACAUAGAAACACUUUAAUAAAUCAAUGAAUUUAAUUUAGAUGAAAUAGUUUUUUUUACACUAUGCAAAACAUCGGUUGGUGAAAAUUUAGAUAUUUUUACUCUACUAGAAUAACUUCACUAAACACGUACUGUUAAGAAGAAGAUACCAAAGAUCUCACAUAUAAAUGUUAUCAAUAUGAUAUAGAAUCGAUGACAUUCAGAAUACCACUUUUUUCCUUUUGAAUACAAAAUCGGAAGAGGUGACCACGGAUCUGAUUUGUAAAUAGACAUUGUCAUAUAAAAAAAAUGACUGCUUAAACACACGAAACAACUAUAUAUUUGGGAACGUAUUGGUAUUAUUAUUAUGAAGCCUGGAGUGAUGAAGGCAAUAUAUAAAUAUCACAUAUGAAAAUAUAAUAAAAAAAAAAACGAAAAUUAAUAACCGAUUUUGUUUUGAGAUUAAAAUCAGAGAGAAAAAAACUAUUAAGAGUAUAUAUUUCUAAACAUAUAACAUUAAACGUUUUUGUUAAUCAUUUUCUAAAAGUAAACGAACACGUAAUAUUUAAUAAUUUACAUUUAACACAUACCUUCUACAAAAAAUUGAAAACAGCCUAAGCCGUAGUAAGAUUCGGAAUAGGUAGCGAUAUGAUCGGAUGCGUUUUGUUUUAUACAAAAUAGUCACGUGAACACUAUUAUAUAAAAGUGUGGAUCAUAUUUCCUUAUGUUGGAUCAGGUGCAAAAUAGCUUUUGUGAACUGUACUGUAAUUGUCAUUGUCUAUCAACAUUUCAUUGCGUUUAUUACUUAUAAUAUGUAAUGAGAUUUUUUUUAAAAGAUAUGAGAAAGUAACAGACAUUUAUUCUUAUAUAUUAUGACACAAGUUUCGACAUUUUCGGUCCGCAGUGUAUUUAACUUCGUAGUUUAUGCAUUUAUACAUUUAAGCCGGAGUCCACUGAUGAGUGUUUAAAACCAUAUAUUCUGAUACAUAUGGUUUAAUGGAACACAUGUUCGUAAAGUUCUAUUCUUAUUCCUCUACAUAAAGUUUUUUAGUACAUGAACAGAAAAAAAAUUAAAUUUACGGCAAACCGAAUGGUUUAACAAGAAUCUUAGAUACUUUUCCGAAAAUAAACGGAUUUUUCUAAAAAAAAAAAAAUACUUCAAUGUUACUCGCAAAAUAAAUUGUCAGUGAUAACUUGCAAAAGUAAAUGUUACAUGCAAUGUAAUAACUACGAGAAAGUGAGUUUUAAGGUAGUAACUAAAACUUAAACUAAAAUUAAUUUGGCUCGUUUAAUUUUCUUAACAUUUUGACAAAGUAUUUACUUUGACCCUUUUACAAAAAUAUAAAAAUUUUAAAAAAUUGUUUUAUCAGAAAAUUUAGCAAUCGUACUUUAAUAUAUAUAUCGUUGAUAGGUUAAUAUAUGAUAUUUCCCCACGUUCAUGCAGUUGAGAGUAUGCAAAUAUAAAUCAUUGUAAAUUCGUUAUAAAAAGACAUUACCUGUAACGGUAAAUUGCUGGUGAAAACAGUUAAACUGUAAGUUAGCUCAAAGAAGUAUAAAAUAUACAGAAUUAUUUUCUAUCGACUUCUUUUAUAUGUCGGUUUAAUCAAUAUUAAAUGUUGAUAUUUUCAAUCUUUUGUUUGAUUUGUAACAUAUGCAGUCAUUUUAACCUACAAGUAUUAAUUUUAUUUUCAGUAACAAUAGGUAAAACACAAAUCAAUCUAUUCAAUUCAAUUUAGAAUAUUUAUGCUGAUAAUGUUUUGGUUUGGUUUUACACUAAUUUGGACGAAUUGAGGAUACAAAAAGUGAUGAUCGUUAUCAAUUGUACUUCGACAAUCUGUGUAAAUUUAGAUGUUUAAACUUUGGUUAACAAAAAUAUGUUUAUCUUUUAAAGUUUUCUUGCGUUUGCUUACUUGAUAUUUACACAGCUAUCACAACAAACAUCGUUUACAUAGUUUUAUUUUUUUAAAUGCAAAUGAACAGUCCCAAAUCUAGUUUUUUUUUCCCCAAUUAUCGUUGGUAAGUGAUUUGCCUAGCGUGUUCGCCCCGAGAGCAAAUGACCGUGGGAUGAAACUCCGGCCGGUUCAACCAAAUGCUUUGAAAUUGAUAGCUGUUGCUUCUCAGCGGAAUUAAUGAGUACUAGUUACAUAUGUACAGUUAAGACUGGUUUGUUCGGAUUCGGAGUAAAUUGUCUGGGUAUGACAAAUGUAUGAUGAUAUGCCUCUUUGUCAAUUGUAAAAAAAAUCUUAUCAAACCAGAAACUGUCAUUCAAACAAAAGUUGUGAUUUGGUUUUUAGAUGGAAAAAAGGUUUUAUGUAUUGGCAGAUAUCCUCGCACCAUUCUCGUAAAUGUUAAGCUCGUGCUUUUCUAUUAAAUUUAUAAAACAACUAUAUAAUUGUAUCAUUUUACACUGAAAAAUACCAUUUAUAAAUGUAUGUCAAGGGAAUAUCACGUAUCACUGUCACGUGAGUUAUCAGGAAUUUACGUUUAUAAAUAACUUUUGAAAAGAUUUAAAAAUAGGUUAUGGAAUUUAUGGUUUAAUAUUAUUACUGAAAAUUCCCAUUGAUAGUAUAAAUAGUUCAAGGUAUGUUAUUUGUUCAAGUUAUGAUUAAACAGUUAUCGCAAUGUUAUUACAGUAUCAUAAGAGCAUGAUGUAUUGUAUUGAAUUUUAUAGCAGUUGCUGGACAGUUAACGACAUUUCUUUUAAAUCAUUAAAUGAAUAAUUUCAGAUUAAAACCAUUAUACAUUGUUCUUUCAUGAAAUGCAUCAGUAAUAUACCGCCGUUCAAUAGUCAUAAUACGAUUCAAGAAAAACAAUUUCAGUUUACAAACUUAAACUGAGAGAAACACGUCACCUAUAACAGAAAAACAACAGAACAAUAUAUAGUAGAAAAUUAAUUAUUUAUCAUGCUGUAAUUCAAAGUCUCAAGAUAAUAAACCUGUUAAUGUAUUGUUUUCUUUUUAACCUCUCAUAGUUUUUCCGGAUAGCAAAGAACCAAUACUUUUACCAGCAUACUUCUCAACAAGGGAUAUAAUUCGUAAUUUUAAAUCAGAAUCCGACUUCCGCAGGUUUCAUAAUCAAUUGUAAAUAAAGAAAUAAUAUGCUUGCAUCAAUGAGUAAGUACGCUAUAAUCCUUAUGAAGAAGUACAAUUCAUACACCCGAAUACUCACCUUUGACUCCGAUAAAAUAUUUCUCUUACUUUUUUUCUAACAUCCAUCCUGCAAAAAUACUAAUCUCAGUCAAAUAAUUAUUGACAAUAGUUAAUUGUAAACGUUUUACUUUUCUUUGUUACAUUUAAAACUGUCCCUGAGAUUUAUCAUUUCUAUGUUAUAUAUUACCUUCUUGUGUUUGAAAACGGCAGUCUAAAGUUUGAAAUAUUAGAGUGUUUUAAUAUUUUAUUAAUGGAACCGUUUCUGAUAGAAAAGUUAUUAUUGUUUUUAUAUUUCUUGAUUAAGAUCGGUCUACUUUCCAGUCACCUACCUAUUGCCGUUUGCUGCGGUCUCAACGAUUCAGACUAUUUCCUUUUGUUAUAUGUUCCGCGUUCGUAAAUCGGUGUCAGUAAAUCUCUUUACAGGAUGUCAACAUGUAAAGAUUCCUUAGUGUAAUAAGCUGUAGAUUAAAUCUAAAUAAGCCUAAUUAGAAAGGUCAGUAGUCCACACUUUUGUGUUGACAUGCAUUAGUAUUGAUAUGAACAUAAUUAUUAACUCUCUUGUUACUAACCAUGUGUAAGGUAACAUUAUAUUAUACUUUUACCCGUUGUCUUUCUGAAAAAAAUCGUUAAAUGAUUUAUGUUUUAUUUCACUAGUGAAACUUUAUUAACUUGCUGACACCUAUUUUUGAUUUAUGAUAGGGUUGCAAUACGCUACUAUUGGUUGUUUUAACAUUAAAUCUGAUAACAAGAUUGGACAUACAUGUAUUUAUUCAUUUUAAAUCGUUCUUCUAACUACUCGAUCAGAUGGAUGUUACCCAAAUAUUUUCCCAAUAACAAUAAAACUAAACCCUUGUUGACAGAUCUAAUUGAACCAUUAUCACUUGAUCGUUUUAUUGGGCAACACUUCAAAUAGUUUUUGCACGACAAAACGGAUGAAAACAUGAAAUAUGAAUGUUAUAGUAUUCGAGAUAAAUUCGGCUUACCUUAUACCAUAGCAUGUGGGUUGAUGCCAUUGGCAAAAAACAGUCAAAACUGUACGUACGCACGGUUAAUUAAAAUAUGCAGAACUAUUUUCUGUAAAUACCUUUUAUACCUUGAUUGGAUCUAUAUUUAACAUAGGCAUUUUCAAUCUGAUGUUUUGAUUCGUUAUUUGUGCUGUCAUCUUAACCUACCUUUAUUGAUUUGUUUUAUGUUACAUUAUAUGGAACACUAAUUAACAUUCUUAUUCAAACCAGGAUUGGUUUGGCUAAUGAUAUGUGUGUAGUACGUGUAAUUGCCGAACUGGAUAGCAAUGGAUAUCAAUAUUCAUUCUCGACUACCACUACAUAGUUUACUUUUCUGCAACAUAAUUAAUGUUGAUGUUGCUUUUAUAAAUACUUUUUUUUUAAAUAAUCUGUCUCAAACUUUGAAUUUAGAAGAACUAUUUAUACGUUAAGUUUCUCUUUUUAAUUGGUAUAAAGUAGAAAAAACAAGGGCUCUUUUAUAUAUACUUUUAUUGAUUGUUUAUGUUUUUUAAAUGUUCGUUUCUUUUCAAUUGCUAAAUUGUUAACUACACGUUAUUAUAAAUCCGAUUAUAGCUUUUUUCAAGUAUACAUUAGUGUGUGUUUACAGACUUUCCAAGUGACCAGAUUUCAAUUUAUAUUGUAAGUAGUUAUUAUGGAUACCAGAAUUAUAAUUUAGUACGCCAGACGCGCGUUUCGUCUACAUAAGACUCAUCAGUGAUGCUCAAAUCAACAAAGUUAUAAAGUCAAACAAGUACAAAAUUGAAGAGUAUUGUCGACCAAACAUUCCAAAAAGUUGUGUCAAAUACGGCUAAGGUAAUCUUUUAUUGGGAUAAUAAAAUGCUCAUUUUUUUCCAAAAAUUUAAAGUUUUGUCAACAGGAAUUAAAAUUACCAUACAAUUAAUAUUCAUGUCAACACCAAAAAUGCUGACUGCUGGGCUUAACAUCGCUUUCUAUCAGAUUUUGAAACAACAACAAAAAAUCAUUAGAGUGAUAUUUUUAUAAUAUAUCGAUAUGAGGGAUAAUGAUUAUUAGUUUUUUUUUCUCUAUACAUUUCUCAUUGUAUCUAGAUGACAAAUAUUUGAUCCUAUUUCGAUUUGUCUUGGUCUAAAUCAUAUUUGCAUAUGCAUGAUAUAAGGUGUAAUAUUUAUAAGAGAUAAAUAUGUUAGCUAUAUAAAUAUAGUAUUGAUAUCCUUAGAUAAGAAAAAUUUAUUAAUAAAUGCUCGUCUGGAAGCCACAUAAUAAUGUCAUAUUCAUUUUAUUAUUGAAAACAUCGUAAAGGCUAGUGUUUUUUUUUUUAUUUCAAACAAUCGCUUGAAUCUUAUUGCACCUAUCUGACACACGGCUAUAUUAUAUAUAAUAUUUAUACUUUCUGUUUUACCCGGACGUCAAUAUUUGGUACAUACAUUUCGUUAUGCAAAAAUGGUGGAUUAAACUUGGUUUAAAAGCAAAUAAACUCAUCAUAGAAACCAGAUAACUUCAGCUGUCUGGUAUAUGCAGUUAGCCAUAUGUUUGUUUUAAUUUAAGCUUUAAAAGUUAUGUUUUUGAUAUUAGUAUUGUAAACAUUGUGGUUUACAAGAUGCACUAUAAACAUUGACAAUUAGAUCGACCUUAAAUACACACAAUAAAAAUAUUACAUUAUGAACGUUUUCAAACAUAUAGGGUUACCUUUGUAUAGUUAUUAUUUUCGUUUAAUAUUUAUUCGUAUACGUUUGAUUAUUUUUAGGUACGAAGAUGAAAAAAGACAGUAUUUCAACAUGCAUAAUAUUGGGAUAAAUAUGUGUUUAUAAAAUUUCGUUAUUUACAGUAAAUUUGGAUCUAUUUCUACACAAUAUACUUCAGGCAUGGUAUAUUAAAAAUUAUAUAGUUUGCAAUCUUUAAUGAAAUAUUUUGUUGACUAGGUUUGCAAAUGUGUUCAUUUAUUCAUUCAUUCAAAAGAAACAAAACAAUAUUCUGAUUCGGAUAAUACUAUUUCAACAUCAAAUACGUUUUAUAUUUAUUUAAAACCUCGAAUAUGAUUAAUUGAUUGUUGGUUGCUUAACGUCCAGUGGCAAAUAUUUCAUGCAUAUUCAGGACGAGAACAAGUUCACAAAAAAUACAAUAGGUAGGUUGAUACGAUAGAGGCCAUCUGGGAUGAUGGUCGGGGAAAUUUGGACUGCCACUGGAAAAUGAGGGUAUUUUGGAUAGGGACAGAAAUUUUGUCUUGCAACAGGCCACCUACGGACCCCUCAAAAGAGUUGUUGCAAGGGUUCUUAACGUGCAAAGAGCACAUCUUUACACGAGGCAUCGGAUUUAACGUCCCCUUCUGAUCGGACGUGACUGCGAACUUGAUACAUCCCGCACAGCCAAACGGACGCCCCACUUCGGCAAGCGUUUUACUGCCGGUCGGGAGAAGACCAAGUGACCAUAUUUCUAUACCCCAAUCACCCUUGGGGUUCCCUCGAAUAUGUGGUCAUACAAUCUUAGAAUCAAGGUCCUUUUACCAUUACACGUGCUUGUCUUUCUAUCUUUCGUAGUCAGUCUUCUCAUUGAGGUUGAAAAUUUUAUAUUUUCAGAUGCAAGUUCUAUGCAUUGUAUUUUUCCCUUUGAUAUAGGCUUUGGUAGGUAAUAACUUCUAUAAUACUUGAGAAAUUGGGUCAAUUCGGUAAAUACUUAUUUCAGUUCUAAUGCCUCCUAAACAAUUGAUAAAAACUAUCCUUUCAAAACCGUUUUUAUUUUUAAAAAUGAUGUUUAAACUUUCUACUAAAUAAGGAAACAAAAGAGAGCUCAUCCUUUCGUAUAUUAAGGAAGUCUGUAGAUAGACGUGCAAUUUCGUGAAUCCAUAAACCAAUGUGUUACAACCAAUGAAUGUUUGAUAAUUUGUAACAUCUAGUUAAAUUAUAAGUUACCGUAAAUAAACGAAAUCUGAUAUUAUUAAUAAUUAGAGAAUGUGUCAAAAGCUACACAUGACCCGCCCCCUUAAGCAUAUAACAUUUGAUUGAGGAAAACUAAAGUUAGAGAAGAAAAAUCAAUUGUGGGACGUGUGUACAGACAUAUGGAUGGUUGGACAGACGAUGGUGACACUUAAUGCCAACUCUGGUGAAAUAUAGGGCAUUAAAAUAUGUAUAGUAUACAAAUUUUGAAUGAAAGACAGCAAACGAAUAGGACAGUAAACAUCAAAACAUAGGUGUUCAGGCCACACCCGGCCGGAAGGAUCCAAAAAAAAUUCCAAAGUAACAGCAAAUAUUGAACGAGGAGUACAAAUAAACAAUAGUAUAUUAUGUUGAAAAAUAAUUUAUUUCAUAUCAUAUCAAUCACUCCAAAAAUGUAAUGGGUUCCUCUUUUAUAUUUGUCUAAAAACAAAUUAUUUACAUAUACCCGUUUACACUAAUAAUGCCAUUGAUAUUUUGUAGGUCACGGGAAUACUACGUAGUAUAGUCAUGUGAGUGAUUAGGACUUUACGUUUAAAAAUAGCUCUCAAAAGUCUUAGUUUAAAUAUAGUUUAUGGAAUUUAUGGCUAAACAUAGUAAAUGAAAAUUCCGAUUGAUAGUAUAAAUAGUAAAAAAUUAUAGUUCAAGAUCUAUGUUCAUCAUGCUUCCUUUUCAAACUGGUUUCUUGAGUCUUUUUUGUGUUUUGUAGUAAAUCGUAGCCUAUCAUGCACAUGAAACACUCAGUUUAAACGUGUUUUUAAUUUGAAGUAUCAUAUGAACUUUAAAUACGUUGUUACAUAUAGAUAUCAAAUAAUCGUACGUUAUUACACACUGUACUCCCCAUGAUUAAGGCUUAUCAGUCCAUAGUGCGUAUUUAUUUUUAGUAUUGGAUACAAUAGAUUAUGGAAAUGCCCAGUGUGAUAAGAUAAAAUGGUUUAAAAAAGUAUGUCAAUGAAUGUGACGUUCAUGUAUUAAUCAUGCUAAUGUUUGCUUUACUGAUUUCAGUGCAGUGUCGAGAUUAAUGAAAAUGAAUCACGCGUCCUAUAUGAAAUUCCGGUAUCUUUGAUAAAUUUUACAACGCAUGUGAGUACAGUGAGACCUCAGGUGUUGAUAUGACAUAGAACGAUCAAUUGUAAAGGGUUACAAAAAAUUGAUUUUUUCAGUAGACUAAGGUUGUUUAGUUUAUAUCGCAGUAGUUAAGCAAAACAAUAAAUUUUAAAAAAUUAGAUAUUUAUGCUAUUUAGUACAUGAGAAUUCAUUGAUAAAGUUGUCGUUGUUUUUUUUUUUUAAUAAUGGGAAUUUUAAAGAUCUAUUUUUAUCUGUUUAAUAUAAAAAGGGAAACACACUGACGUUAGUCAUAGGUGUUCCUUGUAUAAAUCUAUUUAUUUACCUUUCGUCAUUGAAUUUAACCGGAUCACGACAUUCACUGUUACGUUCACUGAAUUAUUAUUUUUUUAAUUUUAAUUAUGUUUGUUGAUCUUUGACAACAUGUUUUAGAUAACAACAUCAACUACCAAAAUUAAAACUUUUAAUAACUUAUUAUUUCAAUCAGUUUAAUUUAGUUCUGAAGCUGCCAUGUCUGUAAAUACUAGUAGUUUUUGCUAAUUUGUGUAUAAUUGAAAUUUUUCUCACUUAAUUUUAUUACUUAUUCUGGCAUCGGACUGGGGCUUCUUUUUAAACUAAGUUUCACUGUAGGUAUGCUUUUUGCUUUUAGUUGAGUAUGACGUCCAUUUUUACUGAACUUAUAUACAUGUUUAUGAGGAGGCCAGCUGAGACCUUCCUCCGUUUGUUGGAUUUUCGGCUGUAAGGUCGGGUUGUUGUUUCCUUCACAUAUUCCCCAUUCACAUUUUUCCACUCUCAAUUUCUUUUUGUGUAUAACAUAUCGUUUAUUCAAAGUAUUGCUUUUUUUUCAAAUUUGACGCCUUUUAAGUCUUCUCUUUGUGCUCUUGUGAUUUAAAAGAUAUUGAGCACGUUUAAAUAUGUCUUUCUACACGUGUAUUUAUGUAUAUAUAUUGUUGCCAAGCAACAUACGCCUCGGUCGGUUUAACUUAAAACUUGUUCAACAUUUUAAUGUAUAGUAUGUACAUAAUCAUUCAACGCUUUUGUGUGUUUCUUUUCACAACGAUCAAAUAUUUACAGGAGGCCAGUGCUGAGAAAAGUAAAAAAAUAAGACCGGCAAACAUAGAAUAAUGCUGUUAAUAACAAAUAUUUUAUCUGUAAAAUUGCAGUUGAAAAAAUUAUAUAAUUUAUACUAUAUUAAACAUGACAUUGGACUAUAAUAACUUUUUAAAAAUAUAAUAAGAAAUAAAAAACCAAGCAAGUCUUUGACAAAGUCGAUACGACACUUGUGAAACGUGGAAAUAUUUUGUAGGUCAUAUAAACGUCGUUCCUCCACCAGACGAAGAUUUUCAUGGCUUAAUCGUCUCCCAUCGAGACGUUAUUUCACAAUGUUCAUUUCGAAC
Molecule: long non-coding RNA, 13462 nt
Filed under: Mytilus galloprovincialis (Mediterranean mussel)
Lineage: Eukaryota; Metazoa; Mollusca; Bivalvia; Mytilida; Mytilidae
Source: RNAcentral